This is a long non-coding RNA of Dasypus novemcinctus (nine-banded armadillo), 1705 nucleotides long. The record is from Ensembl. NCBI's taxonomy places the organism in Eukaryota, Metazoa, Chordata, Mammalia, Cingulata, Dasypodidae.
GGUCGGGGCGCGGGUCGGGGCGCGGGGCGACCCUCCCUUCUGGCCCGGCCGCCGCGCCUGCUCGCAUCCUCCUGGCUCUCCUUCCUUUGGUCCCUGCGUCUGGGCCAGGCCCCGCGCCCUCCCCCGGGGUUAGGUGAGGAUUCCGUGAUAGGCGCCCGCAGCAGGCCGCCGCCAGCAGGGGCCACUUCUGGUUCUUCCCUGCGUGGAGGGUGAGUCUGCAGAGCUAAGAUGUCACAUCCUUCCCGGUCACCGCUAAAACCUCAUCAUCCCGCUGCUGACCAGGGGACCGGGUCAGAGCAGUGUAGACGUUAAGAACACGCCCCGGCAGCCCCUUCCUCGUGGGACGCUGGACAAGACAGUUAGGCAGCCUUAGGGUGGGCUCGCCGCACCGAGCCUCGGGCGCGCUGGGCAGCCAGCGAGGGAACUUGGGGUGCGGGGCCCUGAGCGAGGGCUCCCUCCUUUUUCCCCUUAAAGCAGUAGUAGUGUUUUCCAACCAGCGUGCAAACCUCCCGGCACCGGCCCUGCCGGAUCACUGAAGACAGUUUGGCUGCCCUGAGGAAUCCGGUCCAUUCCGAGGCCUCUGCACCUCAAUGGUACCCCUGGUGUGGGCAGCCAGCGGAGGCUUGGGCCGCGCCCAGGGCGCGGAGGGCGGCGUCCCUGUCGCGCCGGCGGACUUUCGCCGCUGGGACCUGAACGGCGGGACCUGGUGACCUUCUUUGAGCUCCUUUGUCCUCCCUCGCGGGAACUGGGUCGGCGUCCCUUCCCUGGAAACCCUGCCCCCGCCUCGCGGCCCUUUGAAGGGCUGCUGUGCCGUGGCUGGCGACCUUCUUUCUCCACCGCAGAGGCUGCAGUUCUGCGCUCCUGAGCAAAUGUGUCCCAGAGGAGCCCCCAUGCCUUGGCUGGACGCCAAAGCACCAGCCCUCGCCCGGGAGAGGGCUCUUCUGACGGGGCCACGGCGUCGUCCCCAGAUGGAAAGAAUCCCAGGGCCCGUCCCCAUGAGCACAGCGCCUGCUCUUCCCGGAGGAGAAGGAAGAAAUGGUGAAGAGUGGGGGAAGCCAACGUUCAGUCAAUCUAGACCUGUCGUACACGCCACUGCCUUCAUCCUCGCCACAGCCCCUUUCCACAGCCCCUUGGUGGACGAGCGGAUGGGGAUUGGAGCUACCAAGAAAGUUGUCCAAGAUGGCAGAAUGGGUGGCAACCUCCCUCAGCUCUUUUUGCAAAGGAGGAAAUCAGGGGCGGUACCUGUGCCAGAAUCCUAGGCCAGCGCCGUCUGACUACAGAACCUGCGCCCACGGACCCCUGUCUGUUGGAGCAGACAUAGAGGCAGACAAAAACUGCCAGCUCAAGCCCGUGGCCAAGAGGUCUGCAAUCUCCCGGCUCUGGUGACAGACCCAUCAGAAUUUUGACCUUAAAAGAAAACUUUUGACUAAUUGUAUAUUCAGAAAAAACUCUAGCAUUUGCAUGUCUAAAAUAAGUAGGGAGAGGGAAGAAGAGAUGUGAUGUGGGGGCAUUUUUAGGACUUGGAGUUGUCCUGGGUAGUGCUACAGGGACAGAUGCUGGACAUUGUAUAUCCUGCCAUGGCCCACUGGGUGGACUGGGGGAGAGUGUAAACUACAAUGUAAACCACUAUCCAUGUGGUGCAGCAGUGCUCCAAAAAGGAAUUCACCAAAUGCAAUGAAUGUACCACAAUGAUGAAAGAGGUUGU